CGCUAUCACUCCUACGGGAGGCAGCAGUGGGGAAUCUUGGACAAUGGGCGCAAGCCUGAUCCAGCCAUGCCGCGUGAGUGAAGAAGGCCCUAGGGUCGUAAAACUCUUUCGCCAGGGAUGAUAAUGACAGUACCUGGUAAAGAAACCCCGGCUAACUCCGUGCCAGCAGCCGCGGUAAUACGGAGGGGGUUAGCGUUGUUCGGAAUUACUGGGCGUAAAGCGUACGUAGGCGGAUUAGUCAGUCAGAGGUGAAAUCCCAGGGCUCAACCCUGGAACUGCCUUUGAUACUGCUAGUCUUGAGUUCGAGAGAGGUGAGUGGAAUUCCAAGUGUAGAGGUGAAAUUCGUAGAUAUUUGGAGGAACACCAGUGGCGAAGGCGGCUCACUGGCUCGAUACUGACGCUGAGGUACGAAAGUGUGGGGAGCAAACAGGAUUAGAUACCCUGGUAG
RNAcentral lists this ribosomal RNA (448 nucleotides) under uncultured bacterium. RNAcentral's name for it is "bacterial SSU rRNA". It matches the Rfam family "Bacterial small subunit ribosomal RNA", at positions 328 to 793 of the family's 1533-position model. The record is from RNAcentral.